This 468-nucleotide ribosomal RNA is filed under the name uncultured bacterium. RNAcentral's name for it is "partial 16S ribosomal RNA". It matches the Rfam family "Bacterial small subunit ribosomal RNA", at positions 28 to 507 of the family's 1533-position model. The record is from RNAcentral.
GACGAACGCUGGCGGCGCGCCUAACACAUGCAAGUCGAACGGAGCUGCGAGAAGCUUGCUUUUCUUAGCUUAGUGGCGAACGGGUGAGUAACGCGUGAGUAACCUGCCCUGGAGUGGGGGACAACAGUUGGAAACGACUGCUAAUACCGCAUAAGCCCACGGCCCGGCAUCGGGCUGAGGGAAAAGGAUUUAUUCGCUUCAGGAUGGACUCGCGUCCAAUUAGCUAGUUGGUGAGGUAACGGCCCACCAAGGCGACGAUUGGUAGCCGGACUGAGAGGUUGACCGGCCACAUUGGGACUGAGACACGGCCCAGAAUCCUACGGGAGGCAGCAGUGGGGGAUAUUGCACAAUGGGGGAAACCCUGAUGCAGCGACGCCGCGUGGAGGAAGAAGGUUUUCGGAUUGUAAACUCCUGUCGUUAGGGACGAUAAUGACGGUACCUAACAAGAAAGCACCGGCUAACUACGUG